GACCAGACUCCUACGGGAGGCAGCAGUGGGGAAUAUUGCACAAUGGGGGAAACCCUGAUGCAGCGACGCCGCGUGUGUGAAGAAGUAUUUCGGUAUGUAAAGCUCUAUCAGCAGGGAAGAAAAUGACGGUACCUGACUAAGAAGCCCCGGCUAACUACGUGCCAGCAGCCGCGGUAAUACGUAGGGGGCAAGCGUUAUCCGGAUUUACUGGGUGUAAAGGGAGCGUAGACGGCAUGGCAAGUCAGAUGUGAAAGCCCGGGGCUCAACCCCGGGACUGCAUUUGAAACUGUCAGGCUGGAGUGCAGGAGAGGUAAGUGGAAUUCCUAGUGUAGCGGUGAAAUGCGUAGAUAUUAGGAGGAACACCAGUGGCGAAGGCGGCUUACUGGACUGUAACUGACGUUGAGGCUCGAAAGCGUGGGGAGCAAACAGGAUUAGAUACCCCCGUACG
This 448-nucleotide ribosomal RNA is filed under the name uncultured bacterium. RNAcentral describes it as "bacterial SSU rRNA". It matches the Rfam family "Bacterial small subunit ribosomal RNA", at positions 329 to 793 of the family's 1533-position model. The record is from RNAcentral.